RNAcentral lists this transfer RNA (72 nucleotides) under Mustela putorius furo (domestic ferret). It matches the Rfam family "tRNA". Rfam says of the family: Transfer RNA (tRNA) molecules are approximately 80 nucleotides in length. Their secondary structure includes four short double-helical elements and three loops (D, anti-codon, and T loops). Lineage: Eukaryota; Metazoa; Chordata; Mammalia; Carnivora; Mustelidae. The record is from Rfam by way of RNAcentral.
GCCAGGCUGGCUCAGUCAGUAGAGUAUCUGACUCUCGAUCUCGGGUUCUGGGUUCAAGCCCUAGGUUGGGUA